This 666-nucleotide ribosomal RNA is filed under the name Helvella pallescens. RNAcentral describes it as "eukaryotic LSU rRNA". It matches the Rfam family "Eukaryotic large subunit ribosomal RNA", at positions 119 to 797 of the family's 3401-position model. The record is from RNAcentral. Lineage: Eukaryota; Fungi; Ascomycota; Pezizomycetes; Pezizales; Helvellaceae.
AAUCUGGGGCCCUCGGCCUCCGAGUUGUAAUUUGGAGAGGCAUCUUCGGAGGGGAGCGCCGGCCCAUGUUCCUUGGAACAGGACGUCGCAGAGGGUGAGAAUCCCGUGCCAGGCCGGCAGCCUCCUCUCGCGUGAAGGGCCUUCGACGAGUCGAGUUGUUUGGGAAUGCAGCUCCAAGUGGGUGGUAUAUUUCAUCUAAAGCUAAAUACCGGCGGGAGACCGAUAGCGCACAAGUAGAGUGAUCGAAAGAUGAAAAGCACUUUGAAAAUAGAGUCAAAAAGUACGUGAAAUUGUUGAAAGGGAAGCGCUUGAGACCAGACUCAGACCCGAGCAAACACCGCGCCCCUCGGGGCCGUGCAAUUGCCAGGGGCUGGGCCAGCAUCAGUUGGCGUGGCGGGACAAAGGCGCGGGCAAUGUGGCUCCCCUCGGGGAGUGUUAUUAGGCCCACGCUCAAUGCCGCCGACGUCGACUGAGGACCGCGCCUCGGCUAGGAUGCUGGCUCAAUGGCCUUCAGCGACCCGUCUUGAAACACGGACCAAGGAGUCUAACAUCUAUGCGAGUGUUUGGGCGUCAAACCCUUGCGCGUAAUGAAAGUGAGCGGAGGUGGGAACCCCUCGCGGGGCGCACCAUCGACCGAUCCUGAUGUCUUCGGAUGGAUUUGAGUAG